CCUACGGGCGGCAGCAGUGAGGAAUAUUGGUCAAUGGGCGGAAGCCUGAACCAGCCAAGUAGCGUGCGGGAUGAAGGCCCUACGGGUCGUAAACCGCUUUUGCACGGGGAUAACACCCUCCACUUGUGGAGGUCUGCAGGUACCGUGCGAAUACGGGCCGGCAAAUUCCGUGCCGGCAGCAGCGGUAAUACGGAAGGCCCGAGCGUUAUCCGGAUUCAUUGGGCUUAAGGGGAGCGUAGGCGGGAGUUCAAGUCAGCUGUAAAAGCGCGCGGCUCAACCGCGCCCCGCAGUUGAAACUGGACGUCUUGAGUAAACAACAGGCAGGCGGAAUACGUGGUGUAGCGGUGAAAUGCAUAGAUAUCACGAGGAACCCCGAUGGCGAAGGCAGCCUGCCGGGGUGCGACUGACGCUGAGGCUCGAAGGUGCGGGGAUCAAACAGGAUUAGAUACCCUGGUAGUC
This 459-nucleotide ribosomal RNA is filed under the name uncultured bacterium. RNAcentral's name for it is "partial 16S ribosomal RNA". It matches the Rfam family "Bacterial small subunit ribosomal RNA", at positions 338 to 795 of the family's 1533-position model. The record is from RNAcentral.